UGGGGGAUAUUGCACAAAUGGGGGAAACCCUGAUGCAGCGACGCCGCGUGGAGGAAGAAGGUUUUCGGAUUGUAAACUCCUGUCGUUAGGGACGAUAAUGACGGUACCUAACAAGAAAGCACCGGCUAACUUACGUGCCAGCAGCCGCGGUAAAACGUAGGGUGCAAGCGUUGUCCGGAAUUACUGGGUGUAAAGGGAGCGCAGGCGGACCGGCAAGUUGGAAGUGAAAACCAUGGGCUCAACCCAUGAAUUGCUUUCAAAACUGCUGGCCUUGAGUAGUGCAGAGGUAGGCGGAAUUCCCGGUGUAGCGGUGGAAUGCGUAGAUAUCGG
Molecule: ribosomal RNA, 330 nt
Filed under: uncultured Gemmiger sp.
Lineage: Bacteria; Bacillati; Bacillota; Clostridia; Eubacteriales; Oscillospiraceae
Description: bacterial SSU rRNA
Rfam family: Bacterial small subunit ribosomal RNA
Source: RNAcentral